RNAcentral lists this transfer RNA (72 nucleotides) under Loxodonta africana (African savanna elephant). It matches the Rfam family "tRNA". Rfam says of the family: Transfer RNA (tRNA) molecules are approximately 80 nucleotides in length. The record is from Rfam by way of RNAcentral. Lineage: Eukaryota; Metazoa; Chordata; Mammalia; Proboscidea; Elephantidae.
GCCAUGGUGGUACAAUGGUUAAGCAUUUGGCUGCUAACUAAAAGGGCGAUGGUUCAAACCCACCCAGCGGCU